This is a long non-coding RNA of Hippocampus comes (tiger tail seahorse), 219 nucleotides long. RefSeq lists it as uncharacterized. The transcript has 3 exons. Lineage: Eukaryota; Metazoa; Chordata; Actinopteri; Syngnathiformes; Syngnathidae. The record is from RefSeq and is a predicted model, not a curated record.
GACAGUUCGGGAGCGGCCAGCUGGACAGGAAAACAAGGGGAUGCCAACCGGAGGCGUAGAAGUCCUUGCGGAGGACGUGGAAGUUUUCAAUGUGUGUCAGAAGUUGCCGUUUGAGAUUAAGGACUUUGUUAAAAAAUCAGAAUCGUUACGCAUGCAGUUUCGCUACCUGGACCUGAGGUCUUCUAGCUUGCAGAAGAACCUCCGACUGAGGUCUCAACU